This 469-nucleotide ribosomal RNA is filed under the name uncultured bacterium. Its description in RNAcentral is "bacterial SSU rRNA". It matches the Rfam family "Bacterial small subunit ribosomal RNA", at positions 335 to 801 of the family's 1533-position model. The record is from RNAcentral.
ACUCCUACGGGAGGCAGCAGUGAGGAAUAUUGGACAAUGGGCGGGAGCCUGAUCCAGCCAUGCCGCGUGCAGGAAGACUGCCCUAUGGGUUGUAAACUGCUUUUAUACGGGAAGAAACACUCCCUCGUGAGGGAAUUUGACGGUACCGUAAGAAUAAGGAUCGGCUAACUCCGUGCCAGCAGCCGCGGUAAUACGGAGGGUGCAAGCGUUAAUCGGAAUUACUGGGCGUAAAGCGAGUGUAGGCGGCGACGUAAGUCGGAUGUGAAAGCCCCGGGCUCAACCUGGGAAUGGCAUUCGAUACUGCGUGGCUCGAGUCUGAUAGAGGGAUGUGGAAUUCCGGGUGUAGCGGUGAAAUGCGUAGAUAUCCGGAGGAACACCAGUGGCGAAGGCGGCAUCCUGGAUCAAGACUGACGCUGAGGCUCGAAAGCGUGGGGAGCAAACAGGAUUAGAUACCCUGAUAGGCUCUGCU